GACGAACGCUGGCGGCGUGCUUAACACAUGCAAGUCGAACGAAGAACGAUGGAAGCUUGCUUCUAUCAAUCUUAGUGGCGAACGGGUGAGUAACGCGUAAUCAACCUGCCCUUCAGAGGGGGACAACAGUUGGAAACGACUGCUAAUACCGCAUACGAUCUAAACUCGGCAUCGAGGAUAGAUGAAAGGUGGCCUCUACAUGUAAGCUAUCACUGAAGGAGGGGAUUGCGUCUGAUUAGCUAGUUGGAGGGGUAACGGCCCACCAAGGCGAUGAUCAGUAGCCGGUCUGAGAGGAUGAACGGCCACAUUGGGACUGAGACACGGCCCAGACUCCUACGGGAGGCAGCAGUGGGGAAUCUUCCGCAAUGGACGAAAGUCUGACGGAGCAACGCCGCGUGAGUGAUGACGGCCUUCGGGUUGUAAAGCUCUGUUAAUCGGGACGAAAGGCCUUCUUGCGAAUAGUGAGAAGGAUUGACGGUACCGGAAUAGAAAGCCA
RNAcentral lists this ribosomal RNA (496 nucleotides) under Veillonella parvula. RNAcentral's name for it is "bacterial SSU rRNA". It matches the Rfam family "Bacterial small subunit ribosomal RNA", at positions 28 to 493 of the family's 1533-position model. The record is from RNAcentral. Lineage: Bacteria; Bacillati; Bacillota; Negativicutes; Veillonellales; Veillonellaceae.